Molecule: ribosomal RNA, 493 nt
Filed under: uncultured bacterium
Lineage: Bacteria
Description: partial 16S ribosomal RNA
Rfam family: Bacterial small subunit ribosomal RNA
Source: RNAcentral
GACGAACGCUGGCGGCGUGCUUAACACAUGCAAGUCGAACGGAAAGGCCUGCUUUCCCUUGUGGAUUGCGGGUACUCGAGUGGCGAACGGGUGAGUAACACGUGAGUGAUCUGCCCCCAACUUGGGUAUAAGCCUGGGAAACUGGGUCUAAUUCCCGAUAGGACUGCAGGGUGGUGCCUGUGGUGGAAAACGAUUUUCUAGUGGUUGGGGAUGAGCUCGCGGCCUAUCAGCUUGUUGGUGGGGUAAUGGCCUACCAAGGCGGCGACGGGUAGCCGGCCUGAGAGGGUGGACGGCCACAGUGGGACUGAGAUACGGCCCAGACUCCUACGGGAGGCAGCAGUGGGGAAUAUUGCACAAUGGGCGGAAGCCUGAUGCAGCGACGCCGCGUGGGGGAUGACGGCCUUCGGGUUGUAAACUCCUUUCGACCGCGAGGAAGCCACCUGGUUGGAAGGGUGGUGACGGUAGUGGUAGAAGAAGCACCGGCGAACUACGU